GUAUGUUUAACCAUGAAAUGUGUCCUGCUUGAUUGCAAAAAUACUGAAAUUCAUAUCUGCAAUUUAGAAGCUUUUUUGGAAGGCUGAAUGCAGUAGCCAUUAUCUAGCACAACAGGAAAAGGCACUAACCAUCCCCAGUUUAGGAUGGUCAGAGGGAAUGAAUGCAUAUCAAGAAGGAAGAACAUGUUUAGCUACAGCAAAUAUGAGGUAAAAUGACAUUUAAAUCUGCCUGUUCACACCCAGUUUGCCCAGACCUUUACAAUAGACCUAAACAUCAAAUUUCUGCAGCUUAUUUUUGAACGUUUAUAGGAAAAUGUGACAAUUAACUCUUUACAUAAAAGGGAUUCAUCUAAUUGUUGUUAAAAAAUAAUGUACAAUACAAAUUAUAUUUUAUUAGAAGCCUAUGUAUUAACCUUCUUGUUAAUCAGCUUGCAUGAUAAAUUCAACUAUAAAACUUACUUACUGAAAGAAAUACCAGGAAAAUGAUACAAGAAGUAGGUUUUAUGGGUUUCUUGCAUUUGGGGAACUUUUAUUUAUUUUCAUUUUAUCUUCUUUGAACUUUUUAAAAAAUAAGUGUUUUAUGUAGUUUUACAUGAAAUUGGUUAUCAUGAAAAUAAGGGACCUGAGUGCUGGCUUUGAGCCAGGCCUAGUGUGGUUAGAUACUGUACAAGCUUUACCACACAGCUCUGUCAAGACAAUUCAUGUCUGUCCUGCUGUUCCAAAGGGUAUACAACAAUCUUUUGGAUCGGUCCCUUUUGAAACUUCUUCUAGCACACUACAUCAAUAUUUUUGAUGUAGUCCAUAAUUGAUAAUAUACAGAAACCGUAAUUUUCAACGGUUUUCCAAUUUUACAAUUGUCUAGUAGUACAAUAUUUUUAUAUUGUAGAAAUAAGAAUGAAAUUUGUUUUGCAUUUGUUUAAGUUUAGCAAUUGUCAUCAAGCAAUGUAAUAUAUAACUACUGAAAGCAUUACUGCCCACAGCAAUAUUGAAAAAUAAAUUUUAAAAAUUUUACAAAUAUAUAGGAGUUGAAAUUGCAUAAGCUAUUUAAAAUAAAGGUAUCUUUCAUAUUUUACAGAUCUUUGGCUGAAUACAAAGCUAAAUAAAUUUCCACAUUCUUUCUUUAUAUAACUGGUUUAUAAUGUCAAAAUAUUGGACAGGGACUAUUCUGGAAUUUACCAUAAAUCUGAGCAUCAGAAGGGAGAAGAUGAAUGUGUAGCAUUAAGCCAAAGUAUGUGGAUGUGCAAUGUUUAGUGGCUGGGAUUUAGCUUAAAGGAUAUAUCAAUUCAAGUUUUAAAACACAGACAUGAGGAGGUCUGGUCAAAGUUUCAGAAAAAUGCAGCACAAUUUGAAUGUAGUUUGCACUAUAUUGUAGCAGAAAGCAUCAGCCUCUACCAAUUGUUACUUACACUGGAAUUAUUCAAAUUCAUGAUAAAUGCACUACUGAAGAGCCUCAGCACAAUUCAUGUUCAUGAUGCUCACACUUUUGGUACUCACAGUCACUGCCAAUCCACAAGCUUGGGGUAUGGGACAUGAGCAUCUGAAAUUCUACAAUGUGUCAAAAAGAAAACUCUCUCUUCCUCAGAUCCUUCCUGGGGAUAAUAGAACUACUAAUGGAGAGGAAAAAUGCUCUUUGGUAUCAAAAAGGUUUGAGGCUUUCCUCUGAAAAGCAGUGAAACAAAACCAAGCAUACAGAAUAAAAUCUACUUAACAGCAAAGUGUUUGGACUCUGCUGCAGACUAGAAAUUCUGCAGCACCUUCAUUUAAAUUAAAAAUGGAGAUGUUAAAAUAAAUUAAAUAUUAUGACUAUCAUGAUCAGUAAAUUAUCCCCUGCUAAUUAUUUUGAUAUUAAAACGUACAUUGUCUCCAUACUAUCAUUUUGCAGUAUGCUAGAGAUUUUUGUAUCCAUAAUAUAUAAGCUGCGUCUUAGAAACUGAAAGGCAGAAGAUGGAGAUUUGGCAUCUGGGUAUGGAAUAGUUGGGGCUUUUGGCAUCAUGUAGUUCAGGAUUGUGUACAAGAAAAUUAGUUAGAUAUUUCAGUGAAAUGGAGGAAAUGCUGACACUGAAAUGGUAAUAGGCUUCAGUCACUGAGAUACAUGGGGCAGUUCACAUUGCUUAGAAUUAUUAUUUCAGGUCAUCUGCAGAGUCAGGAAGACAAUACUACUUUGGUUUACACUCAGUUCACAUCUACAGUGUUCUCUUCAUAAUCAUGAGAAGUAGAAACAAUCUUUUUAAAUAAAAGUUUAGAUUAUGGACCAUAACUGGGGACUAAGACGGGGAAUUGUUAUAUUCACAUUACCUUGCUUGUACUGCUACUGAAUGCUGUUAAGGGAUAUUUUUCAUCCCAUGUGAUGGUAGUUCUCAUUAGUUUAUUUUAAUCUUCCACCAACCCUAUCACUGUGAUUGAGGUGGGGGGUAAGGGGAAAGGGUUCCAGUUAAUGUCUUCCCUAAUUGGAAAAAGAGAGGAUCUGGCAAUGCCAAUGACACCUAGUGUUAGCUCUUGGUGCAUCAAUGGUGAUAAUCCCACUUCACCUGGUAUGCGUAAAUGGAGAGUGCUGCUUUGAUUAAUGUCUCACUGCCUGGGAGUUUUAAAGAAGCCAAUAAAAAUUAAAAAAUGUGCCUAGCGAUUUAAGAGCCUAUGUCCCAAUGCACUUUUGAAAAUUUUACACUUGGAGAUUAGGUUGCUAUCAGGCUGGGAGAAUAGGAAGAUUCCUUCAGUCCAAGUGACAACACUAGCAUGACUGCAGAAUAGGUUUCUCCUUUUAUCUUCAAGAGCAGUGUUUGUUAAGGUGAAAAUUUAUAUCCCUAUUACUGAGGAAAGGCCUACAUUAAUUUCUAUGAUUUAUUAAAAGUUAUUCAUGAGGAAAUAUUUUCUCUUUUGUACUGCCAAAGCCAGCCAAGAUUAAAGUACUGGUUGGGUGAUAAACUGUCAAAGUACUGUUUAAGUUUAUCAGCAGCUUUAAUGUAUGCAUCAAAAUAUGCAGAAAUCCUAAAAAUGUUAGGGAAGGUUAGGGAAUACCUUCCAUCAUAAUUUGCUAGUUUACAAUAGUGUCUCCCCUAGUCUAACUUUACUUCUCUCUUUUUUACAUACAACCUUCCCAUCAUAUAGCUGGUAUGUUUUGUAAAACCCUGUUAAAUCAUAAGAGGGAAAAUAUUGAUAGUGGG
Molecule: long non-coding RNA, 3161 nt
Organism: Dermochelys coriacea (leatherback sea turtle)
Lineage: Eukaryota; Metazoa; Chordata; Testudines; Dermochelyidae
Exons: 2
Source: RefSeq, a predicted model, not a curated record